GAUACGACCGUACCGCAAACCGACACUGGUGCGCGAGAUGAGUAUUCUAAGGCGCUUGGGAGAACUCAGGAGAAGGAACUCGGCAAAUUGACACCGUAACUUCGGAAGAAGGUGUGCCCUAUUAGUGUGUAGUGAACAACGAAGCAUGAAUGGGUUGCAAAAAAUCGGUGGCUGCGACUGUUUAUUAAAAACACAGCACUCUGCAAACACGAAAGUGGACGUAUAGGGUGUGACGCCUGCCCGGUGCUGGAAGAUUAAAUGAUGGGGUGCAAGCUCUUGAUUGAAGUCCCAGUAAACGGCGGCCGUAACUAUAACGGUCCUAAGGUAGCGAAAUUCCUUGUCGGGUAAGUUCCGACCUGCACGAAUGGCGUAACGAUGGCCACACUGUCUCCUCCUGAGACUCAGCGAAGUUGAAAUGUUUGUGAUGAUGCAAUCUCCCCGCGGAAAGACGGAAAGACCCCAUGAACCUUUACUGUAGCUUUGUAUUGGACUUUGAACAGAUCUGUGUAGGAUAGGUGGGAGGCUUUGAAGCAGGGUCGCUAGAUCUUGUGGAGCCAACGUUGAAAUACCACCCUGGUGUGUUUGAGGUUCUAACCUAGGUCCAUUAUCUGGAUCGGGGACAGUGCAUGGUAGGCAGUUUGACUGGGGCGGUCUCCUCCCAAAGCGUAACGGAGGAGUUCGAAGGUACGCUAGUUACGGUCGGACAUCGUGACGAUAGUGCAAUGGCAUAAGCGUGCUUAACUGCGAGACUGACAAGUCGAGCAGAUGCGAAAGCAGGACAUAGUGAUCCGGUGGUUCUGUAUGGAAGGGCCAUCGCUCAACGGAUAAAAGGUACUCUGGGGAUAACAGGCUGAUACCGCCCAAGAGUUCAUAUCGACGGCGGUGUUUGGCACCUCGAUGUCGGCUCAUCUCAUCCUGGGGCUGUAGCCGGUCCCAAGGGUAUGGCUGUUCGCCAUUUAAAGAGGUACGUGAGCUGGGUUUAAAACGUCGUGAGACAGUUUGGUCCCUAUCUUCCGUGGGCGCUGCAGAUUUGAGGAAGCCUGCUCCUAGUACGAGAGGACCGGAGUGGACACACCUCUGGUGUAUCGGUUGUCACGCCAGUGGCAUUGCCGAGUAGCUAAGUGUGGAAGAGAUAACCGCUGAAAGCAUCUAAGCGGGAAACUCGUUUCAAGAUGAGAUCUGCCGGGGCCUUGAGCCCCCUAAAGAGUCGUUCAAGACCAGGACGUUGAUAGGUCAGGUGUGGAAGC
RNAcentral lists this ribosomal RNA (1247 nucleotides) under metagenome. RNAcentral's name for it is "bacterial LSU rRNA". It matches the Rfam family "Bacterial large subunit ribosomal RNA", at positions 1635 to 2874 of the family's 2925-position model. The record is from RNAcentral.